CCUACGGUUGGCAGCAGUGAGGAAUAUUGGUCAAUGGGCGUAAGCCUGAACCAGCCAAGUCGCGUGAGGGAUGAAGGUUCUAUGGAUCGUAAACCUCUUUUAUAAGGGAAUAAAGUGUGGGACGUGUCCUAUUUUGUAUGUACCUUAUGAAUAAGGAUCGGCUAACUCCGUGCCAGCAGCCGCGGUAAUACGGAGGAUCCGAGCGUUAUCCGGAUUUAUUGGGUUUAAAGGGUGCGUAGGCGGCCUUUUAAGUCAGCGGUGAAAGUCUGUGGCUCAACCCGGGCCUUGCAGCGCGAACUGGCGUGCUGGAGUCCGCGGAAAGCAGGCGGAAUUCGUCGUGUAGCGGUGAAAUGCUUAGAUAUGACGAAGAACCCCGAUUGCGAAGGCAGCUUGCUGCAGCGGAACUGACGCUGAUGCUCGAAAGCGCGGGUAUCGAACAGGAUUAGAUACCCUGGUAGUC
This 460-nucleotide ribosomal RNA is filed under the name uncultured bacterium. Its description in RNAcentral is "partial 16S ribosomal RNA". It matches the Rfam family "Bacterial small subunit ribosomal RNA", at positions 338 to 795 of the family's 1533-position model. The record is from RNAcentral.